CAGGACUCGCAAGACUCCUUCACCCUGUGAACCUCACUACAAGCACGUUGCUUCGGCGGGUGUCCCGGCGGGGGUUUUCCCUCGCCGGGGCGCACAGCCCGCCGGCAGCCUACUAUACUCUGUCUCUUUGCGUUGGCAUCUCGAGAAAAAACAAACAAGUUA
RNAcentral lists this unclassified non-coding RNA (162 nucleotides) under uncultured Chloridium. RNAcentral describes it as "sequence contains ITS1". The record is from RNAcentral. Lineage: Eukaryota; Fungi; Ascomycota; Sordariomycetes; Chaetosphaeriales; Chaetosphaeriaceae.